UUCCGGUUGAUCCUGCGGACCCCACUGCUAUCGGGGUGGGACUAAAACAUGCGAGUCGAGCGCCUCCAGGCCAUGGUGGAGGCGCGGCGCACGGCUCAGUAACACGUGGCUAACCUACCCUUAGGACGGGGAUAACCCCGGGAAACUGGGGCUAAUACCCGAUAGGUGAGGAGGUCUGGAAUGACUCCUCACCGAAAGGGUGUAGGGACCAUGCCUCCCUACACCGCCUAAGGAUGGGGCCGCGGCCGAUCAGGUAGUUGAUGAGGUAACGGCUCACCAAGCCUAUAACCGGUACGGGCCGUGAGAGCGGGAGCCCGGAGAUGGGCACUGAGACAAGAGUCCAGGCCCUACGGGGCGCAGCAGGCGCGAAACCUCCGCAAUGCGGGAAACCGCGACGGGGGGACUCCCAGUGCCUACGCUAUGCGUAGGCUGUUCCCGAGCCUAAAAAGCUCGGGGAGUAAGGGCUGGGCAAGACGGGUGCCAGCCGCCGCGGUAAUACCCGCAGCCCGAGUGGUGGCCACUUUUAUUGGGCCUAAAGCGUCCGUAGCCGGCCCGGUAAAUGCUUGGGUAAAUCGUCUGGCCUAACCAGACGAAUUCCGGGCAGACUGCCGGGCUAGGGACCGGAGGAGGGAGAGGGUACUCCAGGGGUAGGGGUGAAAUCAGCAAGGUGAGUUAUUCACCUUGCAGUCACAAUCCUGUAAUCCCUGGAGGACCACCGGUGGCGAAGGCGCUCUCCUAGGACGGGUCCGACGGUGAGGGACGAAAGCCAGGGGAGCGAACCGGAUUAGAUACCCGGGUAGUCCCGGCUGUAAACGAUGCGGGCUAGGUGUUGGCACGGCUACGAGCCGUGCCAGUGCCGCAGGGAAGCCGUUAAGCCCGCCGCCUGGGGAGUACGGCCGCAAGGCUGAAACUUAAAGGAAUUGGCGGGGGAGCACCACAAGGGGUGAAGCUUGCGGUUUAAUUGGAUCAACGCCGGA
RNAcentral lists this ribosomal RNA (977 nucleotides) under uncultured archaeon. RNAcentral's name for it is "partial 16S ribosomal RNA". It matches the Rfam family "Archaeal small subunit ribosomal RNA", at positions 1 to 922 of the family's 1478-position model. The record is from RNAcentral.